RNAcentral lists this ribosomal RNA (478 nucleotides) under uncultured bacterium. Its description in RNAcentral is "bacterial SSU rRNA". It matches the Rfam family "Bacterial small subunit ribosomal RNA", at positions 365 to 833 of the family's 1533-position model. The record is from RNAcentral.
UUCGCAAUGCCCGAAAGGGUGACGAAGCGACGCCGCGUGGGUGAGGAAGGCCCUCGGGUUGUAAAGCCCUGUCAGGAGUUAAGAAAUGUAAGUGCGCUAAUAUCGCAUUUAUUUGACGAAGGCUCCAAAGGAAGCCACGGCUAACUCUGUGCCAGCAGCCGCGGUAAUACAGAGGUGGCAAGCGUUGUUCGGAAUUAUUGGGCGUAAAGAGCACGUAGGUGGGUUUGUAAGUCAGAUGUGAAAGCCUUCUGUUCAACGGAAGAAUUGCAUCUGAAACUACAAGUCUUGAGUGUAGGAGGGGAGAAUGGAACUUCUGGUGGAGCGGUGAAAUGCGUAGAUAUCAGAAGGAACGCCGGCGGCGAAAGCGAUUCUCUGGCCUAUUACUGACACUCAGUGUGCGAAAGCUAGGGGAGCAAACGGGAUUAGAUACCCCGGUAGUCCUAGCCGUAAACGAUGGGCACUAAGUAGAGGGGUUUUA